GAAGGGGGCUAGCGUUGUUYGGAAUUACUGGGCGUAAAGCGCGUGUAGGCGGUUGUCCAAGUUGGAUGUGAAAGCCUUGAGCUCAACUCAAGAAAUGCAUUCAGGACUGGAUGACUAGAGGACCGGAGAGGAUAGUGGAAUUCCCAGUGUAGUGGUGAAAUACGUAGAGAUUGGGAAGAACACCAGUGGCGAAGGCGGCUAUCUGGACGGUUUCUGACGCUAAGACGCGAAAGCGUGGGGAGCAAACAGGAUUAGAUACCCUGGUAGUCCACGCCGUAAACGAUGGGUGCUAGACGUUGGCGAGCUUGCUCGUCAGUGUCGCAGCUAACGCGUUAAGCACCCCGCCUGGGGAGUACGGCCGCAAGGKUG
This 369-nucleotide ribosomal RNA is filed under the name uncultured bacterium. RNAcentral describes it as "bacterial SSU rRNA". It matches the Rfam family "Bacterial small subunit ribosomal RNA", at positions 527 to 896 of the family's 1533-position model. The record is from RNAcentral.